CCCGCGGGAGUGAGGAGGCGUCUUGCGGUGUGCAGCCGGCGUUUAGAGCCAUAGGGAUGCGGCCCGUUACGCGCCUACGACGGGUGAAGGGGUACGGGGGGCGCGGACACCCACGGGUUCGUUGGGUUCGUUGGGUUUGCCAUCCCGCAAACCCAGAUGGCAGUACAUCAGUGCUGCAUCAGUGCAUAAUUAUAACCUACAGCCCUCAGGUGUUCCAACCGCUCCGUGUGCGCAAGCGGGUUACGGUCGUAGGUGUACGGCAGGGCGCGAGGGAUUCGGGGCGGGAGUAGCGGCAAGCAGCCAAAACAACCCCCAGACCACACAGCGAAAGUGUCACCUAGACAGCAGAAGCCAGGGCAG
RNAcentral lists this long non-coding RNA (360 nucleotides) under Volvox carteri. Its description in RNAcentral is "long non-coding RNA (VCAR_LNC003470)". The record is from RNAcentral. Lineage: Eukaryota; Viridiplantae; Chlorophyta; Chlorophyceae; Chlamydomonadales; Volvocaceae.